GUACUCACUUUGGCAGCACAGAUACUAAAAUUGGAAUGAUACAGAGAAGAUUAGCAUGGCCCCUGUGCAAGGAUGACAUGCAAAUUUGUGAAGUGUUGGCUCGAUGC
This is a small nuclear RNA of Otolemur garnettii (small-eared galago), 107 nucleotides long. The record is from Ensembl. NCBI's taxonomy places the organism in Eukaryota, Metazoa, Chordata, Mammalia, Primates, Galagidae.